This 432-nucleotide ribosomal RNA is filed under the name uncultured Friedmanniella sp. RNAcentral's name for it is "bacterial SSU rRNA". It matches the Rfam family "Bacterial small subunit ribosomal RNA", at positions 958 to 1392 of the family's 1533-position model. The record is from RNAcentral. Lineage: Bacteria; Bacillati; Actinomycetota; Actinomycetes; Propionibacteriales; Nocardioidaceae.
AACGCGAAGAACCUUACCUGGGUUUGACAUAUGCCGGAAAGCUGCAGAGAUGUAGCCCCCGCAAGGUCGGUAUACAGGUGGUGCAUGGCUGUCGUCAGCUCGUGUCGUGAGAUGUUGGGUUAAGUCCCGCAACGAGCGCAACCCUCGUCCUAUGUUGCCAGCGGAUAAUGCCGGGGACUCAUAGGAGACUGCCGGGGUCAACUCGGAGGAAGGUGGGGAUGACGUCAAGUCAUCAUGCCCCUUAAGUCCAGGGCUUCACGCAUGCUACAAUGGCUGGUACAAAGGGCUGCGAAACCGCAAGGUCGAGCGAAUCCCAAAAAGCCAGUCUUAGUUCGGAUUGGGGUCUGCAACUCGACCCCAUGAAGUCGGAGUCGCUAGUAAUCGCAGAUCAGCAACGCUGCGGUGAAUACGUCCCGGGCCUUGUACACACCG